GACAGAGGGUGCAACCGUUGCUCGGAAUUACUGGGCGUAAAGCGCGUGUAGGCGGAUCGGAAAGUCGGGCGUGAAAUCCCCAGGCUCAACCUGGGAACUGCACCCGAAACUCCCGGUCUUGAGUGGUGGAGAGGGAAGUGGAAUUCCUGGUGUAGAGGUGAAAUUCGUAGAUAUCAGGAGGAACACCAGUGGCGAAGGCGGCUUCCUGGACACCAACUGACGCUGAGACGCGAAAGCGUGGGGAGCAAACAGG
RNAcentral lists this ribosomal RNA (253 nucleotides) under uncultured bacterium. RNAcentral's name for it is "partial 16S ribosomal RNA". It matches the Rfam family "Bacterial small subunit ribosomal RNA", at positions 524 to 776 of the family's 1533-position model. The record is from RNAcentral.